This 356-nucleotide ribosomal RNA is filed under the name uncultured bacterium. RNAcentral's name for it is "bacterial SSU rRNA". It matches the Rfam family "Bacterial small subunit ribosomal RNA", at positions 8 to 353 of the family's 1533-position model. The record is from RNAcentral.
AGAGUUUGAUCCUGGCUCAGGAUGAACGCUAGCUACAGGCUUAACACAUGCAAGUCGNGGGGAAACGAUAUUGGAAGCUUGCUUCCGAUAGGCGUCGACCGGCGCACGGGUGAGUAACGCGUAUCCAACCUGCCCACCACUUGGGGAUAACCUUGCGAAAGUAAGACUAAUACCCAAUGAUAUCUCUAGAAGACAUCUGAAAGAGAUUAAAGAUUUAUCGGUGAUGGAUGGGGAUGCGUCUGAUUAGCUUGUUGGCGGGGUAACGGCCCACCAAGGCGACAAUCAGUAGGGGUUCUGAGAGGAAGGUCCCCCACAUUGGAACUGAGACACGGUCCAAACUCCUACGGGAGGCAGCA